CGGUAAUCACAUGAUGCAUGAUAAUAAAACAACAUGACGAAACAAAACACAUGCAUGGUAUGAAAUGUAAUAUCAUUAUUUUCGAAAAAACGAACAACGUGAAGAUUACAGAAGUACACAUUUCUCCCAUUGUGCCCUAACAAAGGUUCACUGUUUUGAGUUCAAGGUCAUAUAUAUGCACUUUCACCAGGAUGGUUUCCUAAACCUAAAGGUCAAAGGUCACUAGAGCUAUGGCCCCCUUCAUAGCAUCUCCA
Molecule: long non-coding RNA, 254 nt
Filed under: Vigna radiata
Lineage: Eukaryota; Viridiplantae; Streptophyta; Magnoliopsida; Fabales; Fabaceae
Description: long non-coding RNA (VRAD_LNC000570)
Source: RNAcentral